RNAcentral lists this transfer RNA (74 nucleotides) under Actinomycetes bacterium. RNAcentral describes it as "Actinobacteria bacterium tRNA-Cys". It matches the Rfam family "tRNA". Rfam says of the family: Transfer RNA (tRNA) molecules are approximately 80 nucleotides in length. Their secondary structure includes four short double-helical elements and three loops (D, anti-codon, and T loops). Further hydrogen bonds mediate the characteristic L-shaped molecular structure. tRNAs have two regions of fundamental functional importance: the anti-codon, which is responsible for specific mRNA codon recognition, and the 3' end, to which the tRNAs corresponding amino acid is attached (by aminoacyl-tRNA synthetases). tRNAs cope with the degeneracy of the genetic code in two manners: having more than one tRNA (with a specific anti-codon) for a particular amino acid; and 'wobble' base-pairing, i.e. permitting non-standard base-pairing at the 3rd anti-codon position. The record is from RNAcentral. Lineage: Bacteria; Bacillati; Actinomycetota; Actinomycetes.
GGCGCCGUGGCCGAGUGGCUAGGCAGAGGCCUGCAAAGCCUCGUACACCAGUUCGAUUCUGGUCGGCGCCUUCA